RNAcentral lists this ribosomal RNA (301 nucleotides) under uncultured bacterium. Its description in RNAcentral is "partial 16S ribosomal RNA". It matches the Rfam family "Bacterial small subunit ribosomal RNA", at positions 509 to 807 of the family's 1533-position model. The record is from RNAcentral.
CAGUAGCCGCGGUAACACGAAGGGUGCAAGCGUUACUCGGAAUUACUGGGCGUAAAGCGUGCGUAGGUGGUGGUUUAAGUCCGUUGUGAAAGCCCGGGGCUCAACCUGGGAAUUGCAGUGGAUACUGGGUCACUAGAGUGUGUCAGAGGAUGGUGGAAUUCCCGGUGUAGCGGUGAAAUGCGUAGAGAUCGGGAGGAACAUCAGUGGCGAAGGCGGCCAUCUGGGACAACACUGACGCUGAGGCACGAAAGCGUGGGGAGCAAACAGGAUUAGAUACCCGCGUAGUCCCUGUCUCUUAUAC